GAUGAACGCUGGCGGCGUGCCUAAUACAUGCAAGUCGAACGCAUUGUGGUUGAAAUGAUAUGAAGAACUUGUUCAGAUUUGAUUUUCAACAUUGCAAUGAGUGGCGAACGGGUGAGUAACACGUGGGAAACCUACCUCUUAGCAGGGGAUAACAUUUGGAAACAAAUGCUAAUACCGUAUAAUAAUUAAAACCGCAUGGUUUUAGUUUAAAAGAUGGUCUUGCUAUCACUAAGAGAUGGUCCCGCGGUGUAUUAGUUAGUUGGUGAGGUAAUGGCUCACCAAGACAAUGAUACAUAGCCGAGUUGAGAGACUGACCGGCCACAAUGGGACUGAGACACGGCCCAUACUCCUACGGGAGGCAGCAGUA
This 367-nucleotide ribosomal RNA is filed under the name uncultured bacterium. RNAcentral describes it as "bacterial SSU rRNA". It matches the Rfam family "Bacterial small subunit ribosomal RNA", at positions 28 to 356 of the family's 1533-position model. The record is from RNAcentral.